Non-coding RNA from Potamilus streckersoni, 67 nucleotides. The record is from the annotation of a GenBank genome assembly. NCBI's taxonomy places the organism in Eukaryota, Metazoa, Mollusca, Bivalvia, Unionida, Unionidae.
GGUGGCUUAGUAGUUAGAGUGUCCGCCUUAGAUGAGGAAGUUCGCGGGUUCGAAACCAGUCAAGCCA